GAACGGGUGAGUAACACGUGGGAAACCUACCUCUUAGCAGGGGAUAACAUUUGGAAACAGAUGCUAAUACCGUAUAACAAUGACAACCGCAUGGUUGUUAUUUAAAAGAUGGUUCUGCUAUCACUAAGAGAUGGUCCCGCGGUGCAUUAGCUAGUUGGUAAGGUAAUGGCUUACCAAGGCGAUGAUGCAUAGCCGAGUUGAGAGACUGAUCGGCCACAAUGAGACUGAGACACGGCCCAUACUCCUACGGGAGGCAGCAGUAGGGAAUCUUCCACAAUGGGCGAAAGCCUGAUGGAGCAACGCCGCGUGUGUGAUGAAGGGUUUCGGCUCGUAAAACACUGUUGUAAGAGAAGAAUGACAUUGAGAGUAACUGUUCAAUGUGUGACGGUAUCUUACCAGAAAGGAACGGCUAAAUACGUGCCAGCAGCCGCGGUAAUACGUAUGUUCCAAGCGUUAUCCGGAUUUAUUGGGCGUAAAGCGAGCGCAGACGGUUAUUUAAGUCUGAAGUGAAAGCCCUCAGCUCAACUGAGGAAUUGCUUUGGAAACUGGAUGACUUGAGUGCAGUAGAGGAAAGUGGAACUCCAUGUGUAGCGGUGAAAUGCGUAGAUAUAUGGAAGAACACCAGUGGCGAAAGCGGCUUUCUGGACUGUAACUGACGUUGAGGCUCGAAAGUGUGGGUAGCAAACAGGAUUAGAUACCCUGGUAGUCCACACCGUAAACGAUGAGUGCUAGUGUUUGAGGGUUUCCGCCCUUAAGUGCCGCAG
Molecule: ribosomal RNA, 764 nt
Filed under: uncultured Weissella sp.
Lineage: Bacteria; Bacillati; Bacillota; Bacilli; Lactobacillales; Lactobacillaceae
Description: bacterial SSU rRNA
Rfam family: Bacterial small subunit ribosomal RNA
Source: RNAcentral